UUAGUCACUAGAUGGCAGUGUCAGACCAUGCUUUGUGUUAUCUAUGCAUUAACAGACUGUGUUUACAGGGUGGCCAACUUUAGAGGAGAAUUAAACCUUUUACAGCAUUGCUCAAACUUUGGUUUUAGUCUCAAUCGCUAAGUUCUUCCUUCAUGACAACUCUGAGGGGGGUGUAUUUUAUUUUAACUCCCUCGUUUAAGCGAUAUAGAUGUUUGAAAUUCACGUGACGUCACAGUGUAAGCUGUGCUGUGUGUUGUGAGUUCGGCUUUCACCAGUUACACGUGAACGCCUCAUGAAAUGGCUUACACCCACAUACCCGGUAAAUUACACACUUUGAUGUUCUGCUCCUUCUCCUGACGGUCACGGUAACGAUGUCUGCGCCUCCGUUUCUGUGGAUGUCCAGCGUGAGACACAACUUGAAUCCAACCAGACUGAACACUGACUCCAGGUACAGACCUGUUUUCAUUACUUACAAAGUAUUGCACAUAAUACAUAAUGUGUUAAAUUAUAAUGCAAUACUUUUAAUGUGAAAUAGCUCCAUACUAAACAUUCAUUGUCAUGGUAGUGCACGUUUUAAUCCAAAAGCAUAUUCAAAUACAUAGUUGAAUAUCCACCGAAAAUAAGAAUACACACUUUGUUCAUAUGUAACUCUUUCUCUAUAAUUAUGACAUACUUUCAUGUUUCCUAUCAUUUUAUUAGGGACGGACGAGCCUGAAGGACACAGCUGUGAUGACCAUGUUCUGUCUCUUAUGACAAAGCAGAAAUAUAAAACACUGGGUUCUUAUCUAAAGUGUAUCAAAUCAGAUCUCCACCAUGUUGCUGCUGAGGACAUCAGGUGCUGCAGUUCUUCAUCUAUGAAGAUGAAAAAACUCACUGUUAAAGAAUGUUUUGUGUUGUGUAUGAAGCACAACAGAUUUCAGAUAGAACCGUUGUACUGUGGUCUGGGUUUGUAUCCUAAUGGUUAAAUGCACAUAUUUUAAGUCGCUUUUGAUAAAAGUACUGAAAGAAAUACAACAUUUUAAAAAUAGAUAAAAUGUCUUUCUACCUCAUCUGUAAUAUUCAAGGUGAUAAUCUCCCACAGAGCUAUUGAUAACAGUCCACAUCAAGUCUCUCCACUUCCCUCAGUGUGAAAACAUAAUUAUAUAAUUAAUUUGAGAACUGUUUACAACACUGAUGUGUGGAGAUUAAAAUCAUAUCUAAACUGUCUAAUUCACUGUAAAACUCCAUGACAUUCGCAGGCCAUCUGUAGUUAAGGGAGCAACGUAUGGAGUGAUGUGUAGAGGGCAGAAACUUGGACUAUGGGCAGAGAAGGUCUCUGGUUCGUCUCCGGUUUGACUCCACGGAGAGACAACAAAAGACAAACCUGGAUUGAUCUGUCCAAAAAUCCAAGAGUCUCCCUACCCUCUCUAGUGCCCCUGAGCAAGGCACCUCACUCCCCCAACAUCUGCUCCGUGAGCGCCGUACAUGGUCGCUCACUGCUCUGUGUGUCCUGCACCAGAUGGGUAAAAAGCAGAGAUUAAAUUUCCCUACCUGCAUGAGUGUGCCUUUGCAUGUCUGUGCAUGUGUUUGGGACGAAUAAAUGGAUCUUAAUCUUAAUCUUUUAAUCUUAAUCAGUUGUCUUCCAGUUGACCAGCAUGAAGCUGCAAAUCUCCACCAUGUUGCUGCUGAGGACAUCAGGAGCUGCAUUAAUGAGGAGCAGAAGCGCACUGUUAUGAAUGUUUUGUGUUGUGUAUGAAGCACCACAUAUUUCAGAUAGAACCGAUGUACUGGGGUCUGGGUUUGUAUACUAAUGGUUAAAUGCACAUACUUUAAAUCGCUUUUGAUAAAACGUGAGAAAGAAAUACAACAUUGUACACAGAUAAAAUGUCUUUCUACCUCAUCUGUAAUAUUCAAGGUGAUGAUCUCCCACAGAGCUGUUGAUAACAGUCCACAUCAAGUCUCUCCACUUCCCUCAGUGUGAAAACAUAAUUAUAUAAUUAACUGGAGAAGUGUUUACAACACUGAUGUGUGGACAUUAUAAUCUUAUCUAUACUGUCUAAUUGACUCUACAACUCCAUGACAGACUAAAUUAACGAUGUGAAAAUAGUAAUGGUGGAUAUAUCAGCCUGUAUCAGAAUAAUGGUGAAACAUAGUUAUUAUCACAUGCAACUUACACAUGUAGCGUAUUGAUAUUAACUUAUUAAAAUAAAACAAAGUCACAGCCAAA
Molecule: long non-coding RNA, 2206 nt
Organism: Pleuronectes platessa (European plaice)
Lineage: Eukaryota; Metazoa; Chordata; Actinopteri; Pleuronectiformes; Pleuronectidae
Exons: 2
Source: RefSeq, a predicted model, not a curated record